AAUUAAAAAAAUAACAUUAUUCAGAAUCAGUAUAGCAUGUAAUAAAAACAAAUUUAUAACCUCAAAAGAACGCAAAAUAGUUUAACUAAAAGUUUUUUCAGUAAAUUUUGUUGAAUAAAACUUUGGAAAACAUAAUUUUUUAAUUUAUAACCUCAAAAAUAACCAAAAUAAUUUGGAUGUAAACAAUUUUAAAAUUAUUAUUUUUUUAUAAAUCUUUUCUAUAUGCAAUACAUAUUUUUGUUGUUUAUAUAAAUAUUAUACAUAUGUACAUACAUAUAUGUAUGUAUAGAAUUCCUAUUUUUUUAAUUUUUUUUUCAUAUUCUGCUUAAUUAUUAUGUCACUUAAUUCAGCUUAGAUGGUGUUCUUAAUCUUUUUAACUAAAUUUCAUUUAUAUUUGUUAGUAUAACUGUUUACAAUAUCUUUUAACUACUUGCGCUAAUUUCCAUAUUUUUUUACUCUUCUCUUUUUAGUUUACCAAAAUUGAAUACGAAGUGAAUGUGAGCGUGUGGCGCGAGAGAAAGUCACUUAAGUGUGUUGAUGUGGCAAGGCUCAGUUUGAGAGUGACCUUGUGUGUGUGCAGAAAGCGGAGCUUAAAGCGGUGUACACUUGCUUACAUGUAAAGGCAAAAUAAUUAAUUGGAAAAGACAGAAAAUACUUGAAAAUAUCGCAAUUGUGUAAAAUAAAGCGUGAACUAUUGAUAAAAGUAAAAAUUGUGAAGGAAAUUAACAGAAUACUGCAUAAAUAGCUAUAAUAAAGUUUGUUUGACUCGGUGAUAAACUGCAGUGAAAACAACGGGAAAAUGCAUUUCAUGUUUGUGCAAGUUUGAAC
Molecule: long non-coding RNA, 828 nt
Organism: Bactrocera dorsalis (oriental fruit fly)
Lineage: Eukaryota; Metazoa; Arthropoda; Insecta; Diptera; Tephritidae
Exons: 2
Source: RefSeq, a predicted model, not a curated record